AUAACGACUCUCGGCAACGGAUAUCUCGGCUCUCGCAUCGAUGAAGAACGUAGCAAAAUGCGAUACUUGGUGUGAAUUGCAGAAUCCCGUGAACCAUCGAGUCUUUGAACGCAAGUUGCGCCCAAAGCCUUCUGGUCGAGGGCACGUCUGCCUGGGUGUCACGC
Molecule: ribosomal RNA, 164 nt
Filed under: Phyllanthus purpusii
Lineage: Eukaryota; Viridiplantae; Streptophyta; Magnoliopsida; Malpighiales; Phyllanthaceae
Description: 5.8S ribosomal RNA
Rfam family: 5.8S ribosomal RNA
About the family: 5.8S ribosomal RNA (5.8S rRNA) is a component of the large subunit of the eukaryotic ribosome. It is transcribed by RNA polymerase I as part of the 45S precursor that also contains 18S and 28S rRNA.
Source: RNAcentral